CGGGGCGUGGCGCAGCCCGGUAGCGCGCCUGCUUUGGGAGCAGGAUGUCGGAGGUUCAAAUCCUCUCGCCCCGA
RNAcentral lists this transfer RNA (74 nucleotides) under Pseudomonadota bacterium. RNAcentral's name for it is "tRNA-Pro". It matches the Rfam family "tRNA". Rfam says of the family: Transfer RNA (tRNA) molecules are approximately 80 nucleotides in length. Their secondary structure includes four short double-helical elements and three loops (D, anti-codon, and T loops). The record is from RNAcentral. Lineage: Bacteria; Pseudomonadati; Pseudomonadota.